This 492-nucleotide ribosomal RNA is filed under the name uncultured bacterium. RNAcentral's name for it is "partial 16S ribosomal RNA". It matches the Rfam family "Bacterial small subunit ribosomal RNA", at positions 29 to 507 of the family's 1533-position model. The record is from RNAcentral.
AGUGAACGCUGGCGGUAGGCCUAACACAUGCAAGUCGAACGGCAGCACAGUAAGAGCUUGCUCUUACGGGUGGCGAGUGGCGGACGGGUGAGGAAUACAUCGGAAUCUACUUUUUCGUGGGGGAUAACGUAGGGAAACUUACGCUAAUACCGCAUACGACCUACGGGUGAAAGCAGGGGAUCUUCGGACCCUGCGCGAUUGAAUGAGCCGAUGUCGGAUUAGCUAGUUGGCGGGGUAAAGGCCCACCAAGGCGACGAUCCGUAGCUGGUCUGAGAGGAUGAUCAGCCACACUGGAACUGAGACACGGUCCAGACUCCUACGGGAGGCAGCAGUGGGGAAUAUUGGACAAUGGGCGCAAGCCUGAUCCAGCCAUACCGCGUGGGUGAAGAAGGCCUUCGGGUUGUAAAGCCCUUUUGUUGGGAAAGAAAAGCAGCAGGUUAAUCCCCCGCUGUUCUGACGGUACCCAAAGAGUAAGCACCGGCUAACUUCGUG